UGCCACACCUACAGAUCAAUUUUCAUCAACACAAUCACUGCUCGUUUGAGGAUCCCUAACAAAAACAUGUUCCUUGGCAAUAGCCCUCUUAGUUGACACAACAAACAUUUGUCACCACAAAAUUUCACCUCCAUAAAAGGACUCAGACAGUUUUUAGAAGUUGAUUUAACUGGGUUUGGCAUCUCUGUGCAAGAGGAGGGCACAGCUAGUUGACCGUCCUCAUCAGAGAAGUAAAACUUUCAAAGGGACCAGUCCAGAAGAGAAGCUUUCAGACAUGUUGUGGAGCAGCAGUCCUCCACCCUGGCUGCCUGUCAACGUUACCUGUGGAGCUUUUAGAUAUACAAACGCCAGCUCCAGCUUCUGAGUUCCUGGCAGCAGGGCCCUGGGCAUCUGUAUGUUUAAACAACCUCCCAGGGAUGCUGAUGCACAGCCAGGGCUGCGCGCCAUGGCUGGAGAAGAAUCAUUUCAUGGAAUUCACCAGAAGAGAAGUAACCAUUUUUUUUCACAAGUGGAAGAGCAGAGUUAAAUAUGCCAUGAUGUGUGGAGGAAUCCAUGCCAAUGUAUCCUCCUCGUGCUUUUAGUUUGUCCAUGGAAAAAUUGCCUUCCAUGAAACCAGUCCCUGGUGCCAAAAAGUUGGGGACCACUGGAACAGAGAGAUUUGGAAUGAAGAGCUGUCUCUAGCAAAAUAAAGUCAAUGACAGAAACAUGUGAAAAACUUCUUGGAGGGUUUUGUAUAGUACAACUUCAAUUGAUUGCUUUAAUUUUAGCUUUGUGAAUAUACAGCUCAUAUGAAAUAAAGAAAAAAUGUUGCAGAGUUCGUGUCAUUGAUAUCAUCUACCACCAGUUUGUCCAUUAGAUUACAGUAUAUUUUUGUAACUUUGAAUUUACUAUGCAUAGAAUUAAAAAUUUUUAAAUUUAAAAUUUAUUCAUGUUAAAUUAGUUUAAACGUGUAUAUUUUAAACUAAUAACAUGCAUAUUUUGAACUCUAGGGAUAGUGGGAGGGAGGAUGUGGUUACUUGAUACAAAAACAGUGAAGAUGAGUUUGUUUUUCAACUCUUGGAAUUACAGUCAUGGAAGGAAAUGGGACAGUGUUUAGCUAGUCAUUGAAAGCACCUGUCUCAUGUUUGAGCCGCUUGGCAGGUUUGUGGAUGUAUUAAUAAUAUAUUCAGUGGGAAUAGAAGUCCUUUCUGGUGACAGAUAGUCAAUUUAAUUACUAGACUAUGUGGUAUAUCUGGAUAUGUUGUGAUUUUCAUGCUGAACAUCACUCUGACAACUCGAAGAUUUAUGUUUUUAGAAAACACCCUAAGUGGGGUUAAUUUUAUGGCUGUCACUUAAGUUGAGCCAGGUGUAUUUCCUCAUUUAUCAUCGUCUGCCUUUUGCUCUUUAUGGUUUAGUGUUGUUGAGUGAUGUCUCUCCAAAAAUUCGAAGAUCUUCCUUUCGUCAGGAUGGCUGUGCCUGCCUGAUGUCUCUAGGGUGAUUGUUUGGAUUGAUUUGACAAUAAUCCUAUUAGGAGGAGGGAGGGUAGACCAGGUCUAGGAAAUUUCUAAUAUUUUUUUAGUUAACCACAUAUGAAAUUCUAUAAAUGUGGUUAGAAAUGGGAGUCAGUUUAGAUUACUCCCAUGCUCUCCCCCCUUCAUUUGUCCCCAGGGCUUACUUAUCCACUGUAGCUUUGAGCACCUCUUGAAUCCGUCCCCCCGGUGGGCGUCUUACACAGACAGUGACCAUUUUUUCUCUUGAACCAUGUCAUUAGCUUCAUAUCUGGUUUCCCUGACGUGACUCUUGCCAGAGUACAUCUGACCAUGUUGCUCUGUAACACUUAGUAUUCUUUUGGCAGCAUAAUGAUAGAAAACUUGAACCAAAGCAGCUUAUACAAAAAAAAAAAAAAAGGAAUUUAUUGGCUCAUGAAACUGAUUUGUGCAGGGGUAGGUCUCAGGAGAGAGAGGCUCCACAUGGCCACAGAGGAAGGUUCUAAAACUUCUCUCUGGGUCUGCUGGCUUAUGUAAUAAGCUUUGUGAGACUCACAGGAAGGUGCUUUUCCCUUAAGUAAAAAACAUUUGCAUGCACUUCCCUUCUCUAAUAA
This 2080-nucleotide long non-coding RNA is filed under the name Microcebus murinus (gray mouse lemur). RNAcentral's name for it is "lncRNA (ENSMICG00000048551.1)". Lineage: Eukaryota; Metazoa; Chordata; Mammalia; Primates; Cheirogaleidae. The record is from RNAcentral.